Molecule: unclassified non-coding RNA, 335 nt
Filed under: soil metagenome
Description: partial contains 5.8S ribosomal RNA, internal transcribed spacer 2, and large subunit ribosomal RNA
Rfam family: 5.8S ribosomal RNA (bases 1-120)
Source: RNAcentral
GAUGAAGAACGUAGCGAAACGCGAUAAGUAAUGUGAAUUGCAGAAUUCAGUGAAUCAUCGAAUCUUUGAACGCACAUUGCGCCCCUUGGUAUUCCAUGGGGCAUGCCUGUUCGAGCGUCAUUUGUACCUUCAAGCUUUGCUUGGUGUUGGGUGUUUGUCUCGCCUUUGCGUGUAGACUCGCCUUAAAAUAAUUGGCAGCCGGCGUAUUGAUUUCGGAGCGCAGUACAUCUCGCGCUUUGCACUCAUAACGACAGCGUCCAAAAGUACAUUUUACACUCUUGACCUCGGAUCAGGUAGGGAUACCCGCUGAACUUAAGCAUAUCAAUAAGCGGAGG